UACGUAGGGUGCAAGCGUUGUUCGGAAUUAUUGGGCGUAAAGCGCGUGUAGGUGGUUAGUUAAGUCGAUUGUAAAAGCCCUAGGCUCAACCAAGGAAGUGCAUUCGAAACUAGCUAACUAGAGGAUGGCAGAGGAAGGUGGAAUUCCAAGUGUAGAGGUGAAAUUCGUAGAUAUUUGGAGGAAUACCGGCGGCGAAGGCGGCCUUCUGGACCAUUCCUGACACUGAGACGCGAAAGCGUGGGGAGCAAACAGG
RNAcentral lists this ribosomal RNA (253 nucleotides) under uncultured bacterium. RNAcentral describes it as "partial 16S ribosomal RNA". It matches the Rfam family "Bacterial small subunit ribosomal RNA", at positions 524 to 776 of the family's 1533-position model. The record is from RNAcentral.